CCUACGGGUGGCAGCAGUGGGGAAUAUUGCACAAUGGGGGAAACCCUGAUGCAGCGACGUCGCGUGAAGGAUGAAGUAUUUCGGUAUGUAAACUUCUAUCAGCAUGGAAGAAAAUGACGGUACCUGACUCAGAAGCCCCGUCUAACUACGUGCCAGCAGCCGCGGUAAUACGUAGGGGGCAAGCGUUAUCCGGAUUUACUGGGUGUAAAGGGAGCGUAGACGGUAUGGCAAGUCUGAUGUGAAAACCCUGGGCUCAACCGCGGGACUGCAUUGGAAACUGCCGAACUAGAGUGUCGGAGAGGCAAGUGGAAUUCGUGGUGUAGCGGUGAAAUGCGUAGAUAUUAGGAGGAACACCAGUGGCGAAGGCGGCUUGCUGGGCGAUGACUGACGUUGAGGCUCGAAAGCGUGGGGAGCAAACAGGAUUAGAUACCCUUGUAGUC
RNAcentral lists this ribosomal RNA (440 nucleotides) under uncultured bacterium. RNAcentral describes it as "partial 16S ribosomal RNA". It matches the Rfam family "Bacterial small subunit ribosomal RNA", at positions 338 to 795 of the family's 1533-position model. The record is from RNAcentral.